GACGAACGCUGGCGGCGUGCUUAACACAUGCAAGUCGAACAGAAAGGCCCUGCUUUUGUGGGGUGCUCGAGUGGCGAACGGGUGAGUAACACGUGAGUAACCUGCCCUUGACUUUGGGAUAACUUCAGGAAGCUGGGGCUAAUACCGGAUAGGAGCUCCUGCUGCAUGGUGGGGGUUGGAAAGUUUCGGCGGUUGGGGAUGGACUCGCGGCUUAUCAGCUUGUUGGUGGGGUAGUGGCUUACCAAGGCUUUGACGGGUAGCCGGCCUGAGAGGGUGACCGGCCACAUUGGGACUGAGAUACGGCCCAGACUCCUACGGGAGGCAGCAGUGGGGAAUAUUGCACAAUGGGCGGAAGCCUGAUGCAGCAACGCCGCGUGCGGGAUGACGGCCUUCGGGUUGUAAACCGCUUUCGCCUGUGACGAAGCGUGAGUGACGGUAAUGGGUAAAGAAGCACCGGCUAACUACGUG
Molecule: ribosomal RNA, 468 nt
Filed under: uncultured bacterium
Lineage: Bacteria
Description: partial 16S ribosomal RNA
Rfam family: Bacterial small subunit ribosomal RNA
Source: RNAcentral